RNAcentral lists this ribosomal RNA (499 nucleotides) under uncultured bacterium. Its description in RNAcentral is "partial 16S ribosomal RNA". It matches the Rfam family "Bacterial small subunit ribosomal RNA", at positions 28 to 507 of the family's 1533-position model. The record is from RNAcentral.
GACGAACGCUGGCGGCGUGCCUAAUACAUGCAAGUCGAGCGAUGUUUUUCUGAUCCUUGCACCGGUAAAACUUUUCCGCACACGUGUGAGUCACACGUAAAGCACCUGCCUUAUCGACUGGUACCACUAUUGGAAACUAUCGCUAAUCCCAGAUAACAGCAUUUACUACGUUGUUGCUUUUUGAAAGUUGGUUUUGCUAACACUAUGAGAUCGCUUUGCGGUGCAUUAGCUAGUUGGUGGGGUAACGGCCUACCAAGGCGACGAUGCAUAGCCGACCUGAGAGGGUGAUCGGCCACACUGGGACUGAGACACGGCCCAGACUCCUACGGGAGGCAGCAGUAGGGAAUCUUCCGCAAUGGGCGAAAGCCUGACGGAGCAACGCCGCGUGAGUGAAGAAGGAUUUCGGUUCGUAAAGCUCUGUUGUUAGGGAAGAACGAUUGUGUAGGAAGAAUACACAGUAGAGAAGGGAACUAAACAGAAAGGCAAGGCUAAAUAAGUG